RNAcentral lists this ribosomal RNA (350 nucleotides) under uncultured Oscillospira sp. Its description in RNAcentral is "partial 16S ribosomal RNA". Lineage: Bacteria; Bacillati; Bacillota; Clostridia; Eubacteriales; Oscillospiraceae. The record is from RNAcentral.
GGAGUCUGGGCCGUAUCUCAGUCCCAAUGUGGCCGUUCAACCUCUCAGUCCGGCUACUGAUCGUCGACUUGGUGGGCCGUUACCCCGCCAACUAUCUAAUCAGACGCGAGGCCAUCUCAGAGCGAUAAAUCUUUGGCAACAAAACCAUGCGAUUCCGUUGCUUCAUGCGGUAUUAGCAGCCGUUUCCAGCUGUUGUCCCCCUCUCCAAGGCAGGUUCCUCACGCGUUACUCACCCGUCCGCCACUUUCCUCACCUUCCGUUGUCCGAAAACUCCUUCCGGUGAUUCUCGUUCGACUUGCAUGUGUUAAGCACGCCGCCAGCGUUCGUCCUCGAGCCAUGAUCAAACUACU